This 1939-nucleotide long non-coding RNA is filed under the name Equus caballus (horse). RNAcentral's name for it is "lncRNA (ENSECAG00000041317.2)". The record is from RNAcentral. Lineage: Eukaryota; Metazoa; Chordata; Mammalia; Perissodactyla; Equidae.
CCCUGUAUCCCCUCCAUCCCUCUGGCUGCCACCGUCCUCCCUCUGGACCCCGUGGUCAGGCUCGCUGCAGAGCCCCGUGGACCCCGCCGGGCUGAGCGGUCCACACCUCGGUCAGCCCUCUUGGAAGGACUGCCCCAGCCAUGUUAUAAAAGGAGGAAAUGUCACAGUGGGCAGACCCCACUCCUGCGUUAUAGACAGGAAACUCAGGCGUACAGUUUCUCUAAUUCCAAGUUCGACGUUACUACCUGCUUCUCAAAUGAGUAAUUGGCAGCCUCAAUUCUCUGCAGAGGGGAUGCAGAAUAGCAGAGUAUCUGUGAUACAACUUUCGGGAACAUCAAUUUUACUACAAGAUUUAUAACAAAUGGAGUUAAGUAACUUCCAAGGACUUUGGAGAUCCUGGUUCUUGGGCCUUUGAGUUUAGAAUAGAAUUAUGCCACAGCCUCUCCCAGGCCUCCAUCUUGCAGAUUAUGGGAAUUCUCAGCCUCUGUAACCAUGUGCUGGAUACACAGUCUGAACAGCACAGUUUAGGGUCCUGUGCUAUGAAGAAACCUACAUGCUAAUCCUGGGAAAUGAGACAAGCAACAAGCAAGUGAACCCAGGAAAAACCAGUGUCACUUCAGAUGGUGAUAAAGCAGGGUCAUGUGAUCGAGCGAGCCCAAAUGGCUAGUGGACAGAAGGUCACUCUAUUUUAGAUUGGCUGGUCAGGGUAGGUCUCUCUAAGGAGGUAAGAUUCAAGCUUUCCAGGUAGGAGGUACAGUCGAAGAAUGUAUCCAUGAAGGUGAGAGCCCAUUUGAGUGCUGUGGAUGCCAGCCUGGGAAAGUGACCGAUGGGGAGAAAGGUAUCAGCCUCAAUAUCCUCACCACCUUGUUCCUUCACUGUUCCAAAGUUGGCAACAUAGCAAUUCUGAGUCGAUCCAGAUUUCUAGUUUAUUUUAUCUGGAAUCCAAGCUACAGAAGACAACUGGAGAAUUCCUCACGCUUACACAUUUAUUAAAUUCAAUCCAGGCAACGUGAUGAUGAUAUCCAGGGAUGUUUCCCUGCCUUGUGUGGUGAAAAAUUGUAAAAGAUGUUGAAAAGGCUUACCUACUUACCUUUCUGAGUUAUCUCUGCCUUUCAUCGUGUUUGCUCUAGUUUAUAAAUUGUACAUUGUAGAUACCAGUAGCAAUGCAAGUGAUACUUGUCUACAGACAGGCACAUUGUGUCCAGUGUGGAGACAGCUGAUUUCCCUCUCUGCUGUGGAUGAAGCUAGUUUUGUAUCUAUUUGUAUAUUUAUUUGUGAAUUCCUGAUCUAUUAUUCUUUGAGUUACUUUUUAUACCAAUUACAACAACUUAAUGAAUGAAGUAAAAUCUUUGACACAUAUUCAUUUUAUAUUUGUAUGAAAGUCACAAUUUUAAGUUGUGUGUAUAUAUGUAGGUGUAUGUAUUAUAUAUAAACUUGUUCUUUAACAUUUCACAUUGCACACAGCUAUUUCCCUCAUUUAAUAGCUGUUGCAAACCUUCAUACUUCUUUUUAAGUCUCAUUCUACGACUUCUUCUCACUGCCAGAAAAUAAUUUCUAUUUUGUGGAUAAAAGUAUAGAAUAGCAAAUAAGUAUAUCCUCAGCUGUGUCAUCGGGUCAUUGUAUGAGCAUUCGGAUUCAUCAGUGAUACCCUCUCUCCAUCUCUUUUCUGGGAAAAACAUGCCCCUCCUCUCUGAAGUUAAUCCCUUCCACUGUGCACCCAGUUCUGACUUUCUGCGUCAGUUGAGAUACUUACACUAUUACUGCUCCUCUUUCUCUCAUAAACUUUCAGCACAUACCAAAAUUUAAGUCAGUUUCAUCUUUAAAAAUAUUACCCUGUGUCUGCUUCUGUUCAUUUUCCUUCAUUUCGUUGCAAUAUUUUCUUACAGGCAUCCACACUGGUUCCACUUUCUCACUUCAGCCUACUGCGAUAGGAUUUUUG